RNAcentral lists this ribosomal RNA (454 nucleotides) under uncultured bacterium. RNAcentral's name for it is "partial 16S ribosomal RNA". It matches the Rfam family "Bacterial small subunit ribosomal RNA", at positions 28 to 507 of the family's 1533-position model. The record is from RNAcentral.
GAUGAACGCUGACAGAAUGCUUAACACAUGCAAGUCAACUUGAACUUCGGUUUGGGUGGCGGCCGGGUGAGUAACGCGUAAAGAACUUGCCUCACAGCUAGGGACAACAUUUGGAAACGAAUGCUAAUACCUGAUAUUAUGAUUAUAUGGCAUCGUAUAAUUAUGAAAGCUAUAUGCGCUGUGAGGGAGCUUUGCGUCCCAUUAGCUAGUUGGAGAGGUAACAGCUCACCAAGGCGAUGAUGGGUAGCCGGCCUGAGAGGGUGAUCGGCCACAAGGGGACUGAGACACGGCCCUUACUCCUACGGGAGGCAGCAGUGGGGAAUAUUGGACAAUGGACCGAGAGUCUGAUCCAGCAAUUCUGUGUGCACGAUGAAGUUUUUCGGAAUGUAAAGUGCUUUCAGUUGGGAAGAAAAAAAUGACGGUACCAACAGAAGAAGUGACGGCUAAAUACGUG